This 71-nucleotide transfer RNA is filed under the name Ecsenius bicolor (bicolor blenny). RNAcentral's name for it is "tRNA-Ser". It matches the Rfam family "tRNA". Rfam says of the family: Transfer RNA (tRNA) molecules are approximately 80 nucleotides in length. Lineage: Eukaryota; Metazoa; Chordata; Actinopteri; Blenniiformes; Blenniidae. The record is from RNAcentral.
AAGAAAGUGACAGAGUGGGUAUGUAGGUGGCUUGAAACUAUCAUACGGGGGUUCAAUUCCCUCCUUUCUCG